CAGGGGUGCGGUCGGUGUGUCGGGCGGCAGAAGAGGCACUGCUCCCUGCAUGGAACCAGGGAACGGAGGGGAUCCAGCAGCCUCUGGGCAGCGGGAGCCCUGGGACGCCGGGAGGUGGGGUGCGAGGCAGUGCCAGGGAGCCCCGAGCCCAAGGACAGAGAGGAGUGGAGACCCGGGGAAUCCCUGAACAAGACCAGAUGAAGACGGGCCGUGCUGUGAUCCCAGCCCUGGCGAGGAGAGAUGAGUCACACGUCCCAGGGAAAUGGACCUUUCAAGCUCCCCACGACUUCCACCUGGGCCCCAUCAACGUAGCAGCCGAGCAUCGCGAGCUGGUGUGGCCUUGUGCUAACGUCUCUUCUGUUCACACACUCGGGCCUGGAAGACGCUGCAGGAUGAGCGCACGGUGCUGGCUUCCUAGUGAGACGGACUCAAACCCCGUCCAUCCCCGAAGAGCUAAGACCCCACUCUGACCGCUGGGCCACCAGGGCAUUUCAGGUCACCCCCGGCUCCCACGGCGAGGUGCCCAUGCUAGUCAAUCCCAGAGUGUCUGAGGGCGUUCUUCCCCUGGUGCACGUUUAUCCUAAUGAAGGGCAGGACUUCUUACUGGAAGCCUAGGAGGAGGGAUUGCAAACGGUUAUGAGCUGUUACCCGGCCACUUUCCUCAAGCCCGCACCAAGAGGCCACGCAUGGAUCAGGCCUUGGGGAUCCUGAGGGUCACGAUUCUCUCCUGUGAUGACUCAGGAAAGCCGCUUCCAGACCUGGAGUUCCCUGAGACCCCCCCCACCCCGGCUUCUCACAAACACACCUUCCAUCCCGGAGACUCGCUCUCCCCCCUGUGACUGGCCUGUGUUGUGUGUUUUUCAGCUCUUCAUCAUUUUAUCAGUAAGUAAUUAUCGAUAAGAAAGUUCUUGAAAUCUCUAGAGAAGAAUUUUUCAAACUGGUUGCAUGGACACAGUCUCAGGAUUAUCCAAUGAGGAUUUAAAAUUCUUCCAUUUUGUCUUUUUAUUAAGUGAUUACAGUUCACUUAAAUGAUUUUUUUUUCUCCCAGUGAUCACUUGCCUGUGAAAGACGUUUUAGGAGAACGUGAGCUUGCUUUGUUAAAUAAUUGUUUUCAAAAUUAGAGUGAUGAGUACGGUUGAAGAUAAGGAAAAAUAAGUGGGAAAUGUUAGAAAAUUUCUUAAGAGUAGCCAGCCUGUUUAAAAAAAAAAAAAAAAAAGAGUAGCCAGCCUCUUUAUUUUUAUUUAUUUAUUUAUUUAUUUAUUUAUUCAAUUUAUUUUGCCAGCCUCGUUAAAUAGAAUGCCCUAUGAAUAGUUUUGUAGUAUUUGAAAGAAACAUGGAAUCGAAAAUAUAUACUCUGUUUUCUUAGAUCUACAAUUGGAACAUUUUGACUAAUGGAUUCUUCGUGUUUGAUGUAUUUUAAAUUUUUUAGUUGUGUAGGAUCACAUUAAUAGGAGCAAAUAUUUACCUGAAAUAAUUUAUGGAGAAAUAUGUGCAAUUGACCUCAGAACUUACACAGGUUUGAACCGCAGUGGUAUUUGACUUUCGUAGACCAAAAGUUUUCGGAAGUAAUAAAGUUGUCAUAACAACAUGUGAAUACCA
RNAcentral lists this long non-coding RNA (1599 nucleotides) under Vulpes vulpes (red fox). Its description in RNAcentral is "lncRNA (ENSVVUG00000029615.1)". Lineage: Eukaryota; Metazoa; Chordata; Mammalia; Carnivora; Canidae. The record is from RNAcentral.